GAGCGAAGGGUUGGGCUUAGGUAGGUGGGUGCGUGCGCGGGUGGAGGGGCGGCGGCCUCGCCGGCGCUACCUGCAGCGGCUCAGUGGCCUGGAGGUCCGCGUCGACCGGCGCCGGCACGUGCGUGAAUUAGUGCGGAGCGUAGGGAGGCGUGCAGAUCGGCGGUUGGUCACCGAGGAGCCGGACGUCGCGAGCGGCGUACGCACCCGCGACCGCCAGAGCGAGGAGCGCAGGCGCCUAGUAGGCAGGGGAAGGCGGCUAGAUGAGAAGAAGCGGCGGGUCUACGAAGCGGCCUUCUAGGUCAGUGGGCUGAUGAGCGAGGGCCUGUUGCGGCGCGUCGAGGAGCUGCGCGAGGAACAGCGCCGGGCGGCAAAGACGGAACGGGGAGGGGCCGACGAGUGCGUCUAGACGGACCGGGAGCGCCGCGAUCGCGAGGCACGCCUCCCUCCCCAUCUGCCCGAAAAGCGAGCUUACGGCGUGGAUGGGCUGGGGCGGAACGACCUCGACGAGUGGCACGAGGGGCUCCUCCACCGCGUCCUACUCUCGCCGCUGUGCCCCCAGCUGAGGCGGUGCGCCACGUCCAAGCGCGCACUCGACGAGUACGUGCGCGGGCGGCACGAACUCAAGGACGAUCGCGUCAGACUCUUCGGCCGGCGGCGCCUGCCCCACGGGGAGGUGCUCGCGUUGGUAUCUUAGGACGCUACGGAUGACUCGACCCAAGCGCGCCCUACGAAGAGCCCUCGCGGCCGCAGGCGGGAGCGGCGUGUGGGUGAAGACUGCAAGCGCAAGUUGAGGGACGUCCGCAAGAAGAGCAAACUUCACCGGUAUCUCCAAUACUGGCUUGAACAGUCGGUCAUAGUUCUUAAUGGCGUCCGUAAAGACUCGUUCUACGGUAUGUAGUCUCUCCAAGAAGAAAAUGGUCGAGAUCGGUUGUCUUCACUCUUCUAAUAACGACCAGAAUGAUCAAACUACACGCUUCAACCAGUUCGUCGUGGACCAAACCAACGUCUUCCCUCAUUACUUCGUGAAAGAGAAAGUCUACGUGAAAACUCUACACAUCGAAAAAGAUCACUUCUGACCCUCUAGCGUCUUAGGUGGAACGUUAAAACCACGUCAAACCGUGUAACAUAAGAACCUUAGCUACUCGUUUGUAGGUUUUCCUUACGGUGUGUUCUCAACAAAGAGGGACAAAAAAGAAGUGACGAUCUACGAGAAGAAAAAGCACGAGUCUAAUAACUAUAGCUACUCGUAACGUGACCGGCUCAUAGAAGGUAUGGACUACCUGAUCAUGUCAAGUCCGACUUGGACCUCCUCGAAGAACAACUAUAAACAAACGAAGAUCCACGAGGACGUAUGUAAUUAUUCGAAGAAAGAUCGCCUACCCCUGACCGAUCGGUUAGUUAUGGAACCUUUCUCCAUCUUCAAUCUUACAUGCGUGAAUCGUACCAACGACUGUGUUAAAAUGUUCUACCUUCGGGGAAGCUAAAAAGUCAACAUUACGUGAAACACUUGUAAGACAGGUCGUCUUGUGGACGACUUGACUUACCUACGGUCAAGAACCAUAUGUUUAGCAAACCACUACAGUAACCAAGAAUAAGUUUCACCAAUAGUAGAAGGUUUUCAUUAUAAUUCGGUAAUGAGGAUAAGACGCGAAGUCCCUAAAGUUUUAGGUAUAGUAGUUUAAGAACGAGACAUCGAAAUGCAUUUGAAACACUCCUACGAAGCAGUAAGUAGGUGCUCGGAGGCUAAGAUCUGUAAGAAAAGACCUAAUCACUCCCAUACCCGCUCCCCUUGGACGCCUAUCUCCUACUCCUUCUCUAGUAAUCACGUUAAUGUGUACGAGAUACAAGAUAAGAGCUGUUUCUUAACUCCUUUUGAAGUGACCGGUCUGAUGAAACAAGUUCGAUGAGUCGUCAACUUUUCUAAUAACUGUAUCUGUCUCUACUUAACGAUUCCGUUUUAAGAUCACGAAUGCGUGUUCGGAACUUGUAGCGUCAAGCACCUGAAGUGUCUUACCCACGUAACAAGUCAGUAAACCGCUACAGUUAAUGUAGACCAGAUUAACUACUACUAUGCUAAAGCCAAGAAAAGCCAUAUAAGACCGGUGAGGAACUUUUUGAAUGCGUCAGUAGAGUAUACCUCUUGUGAUCAAAUAGAUGACGACGAACAGCAAGAGAAAGAAGCCGGUAUGUAAGAACACCUGUUGUAAAGGUUUAAAAUAAUGGAUUUUAAGAACUUACGAAUAGAUACUUAAAGAACGACAUAGUUUCCGUACUGACGAAGAAUUCUUGUCGACGGUUGUACUAACUUCUUAAACCGGUGUUCCUUCUUAUGUCACAACAUACACAGUCUUGAUAACUUUGCAAAUCGAGACGUCGAAGUGAUAGUUUAAACUUAAGAAGAAUGUGUACACUAGUUCUUGGGCUAGAUUAGCUUCGGAUACGUUUGAAGUGUAGACGUAAAUAGGCGACGACAGGUUUCCUUCGAUAACAGCGUAGAGCGAGCGACGAACUCGACAGUAAAGUUUUCCGUCGAUAUACGAGAUGUCGUUACGUGGUUCCUCGUCGUGAACAUCGUUAAAGUAUAUACAGUACAAAAAAACUACGAUCGGAAUGACUACACGACCUUAGAGGUCUUACGGGGAGACUACUUAGUGCACCACGCCACGACCAAGUUUAAAACCGUGCGACACCACUUCCAGAAUACAAAUUGCAUAAAAUACGAGAUGAACCACAUAGUCGGAACAGUUCCCAUGUAUUUAGACGUUGUUACGACGUCUUCAACCGCCGCAACACAUCGGAGACACUCUCUUGUUACACCUUCCCCUAUGAAACAACCCUAAGGGAAACACCCACCGACGUCUGUUGCCACUCAAGAAACAGGAGUCUCAUGGAUUCCGUUCCCCUUCGGCUCGACUAUUAAGGUAAUACCGAGUUCCACGAAGUCCUACGGCGGAGCCUGAUAGAAGUGUCGUCCUGACCGCUGUUAACGUCUUUGGUAGGACCAAUGUACGUUCCUUUUCCACCUUCUUGGGAAUUUGCGCAUUAAGCUCUAAAACGUCUUUCGGUAGCUUUACAAGGGUGGGGGAUAUAACUAUCGUCCACCUCGACGGCAGUUGUCAAUUCAAUUUAAACAACUUCAAACUUAGCAUUGGCAAACCUUAUCGAAGGUACGCUAUUUCCAGGAACGAAACCACACCUUACGUUGUCGAGCGAAACCACCGUGUUAUGUCUUACAACUAGGGAUCCAAAACAGAGACAUAAUAGGAAGAUAAUUGAAAUUCCUAUACACAAUAAGUCUACACUACUGACCCAAUCCUCGAGACAGGACGCAAGAUAUGGUUACAUCACUUCAUACUCUCCAGUUAUUUCUUACCAGCAAGGCAACUGGCAAGAAAUUCAAAGUCUUUUAUUUUUUCGUUAGGUAUCGGAGUACGUUGGAUCACGACUACUCGUCGAUGCCGUUGUUAAUACGACUCUUAAAACUUUGUUCUUUCACUUCUUCCAUCUACACUAUCAACACGUA
Molecule: ribosomal RNA, 3523 nt
Filed under: Triticum aestivum (bread wheat)
Lineage: Eukaryota; Viridiplantae; Streptophyta; Magnoliopsida; Poales; Poaceae
Description: partial small subunit ribosomal RNA
Source: RNAcentral